This 1483-nucleotide ribosomal RNA is filed under the name uncultured Bordetella sp. Its description in RNAcentral is "partial 16S-23S ribosomal RNA intergenic spacer". It matches the Rfam family "Bacterial small subunit ribosomal RNA". Lineage: Bacteria; Pseudomonadati; Pseudomonadota; Betaproteobacteria; Burkholderiales; Alcaligenaceae. The record is from RNAcentral.
GGGUUCGAUUCUGGCUCAGAUUGAACGCUGGCGGGAUGCUUUACACAUGCAAGUCGAACGGCAGCACGGACUUCGGUCUGGUGGCGAGUGGCGAACGGGUGAGUAAUGUAUCGGAACGUGCCUAGUAGCGGGGGAUAACUACGCGAAAGCGUAGCUAAUACCACGCCGCCCUUCGGGGAAAAGCGAGGACCUUCGGGCCUCGCACUAUUAGAGCAGCCGAUAUCGGAUUAGCUAGUUGGUGGGGUAACGGCUCGCAAGGCGACGAUCCGUAGCUGGUUUGAGAGGACGACCAGCCACACUGGGACUGAGACACGACCCGAACUCUACGGGAGGCAGCAGUGGGGGGCACACGGACAAUGGGAAACCCUGAUCCAGCCAUCCCGCGUGUGCGAUGAAGGCCUUCGGGUUGUAAGCACUUUUGGCAGGGGAAAAACGGCACGGGAUAAUACCCCGUGCAACUGACGGUACCUGCAAGAUAAGCCACCAGCCAACUACGUGCAGCAAUAGCCGCGGUAAUACGUAGAGGGUGCAAGCGUUAAUCCGGAAUUACUGGGCGUAAAGCGUGCGCAGGCGGUUCGGAAAGAAGAUGUGAAAUCCCAGAGCUUAACUUUGAGACUGCAUUUUUAACUACCGAGCUAGAGUGUGUCCAGAGGGGGAAUUGGAAUUCCGUGUUAGCAGUGAAAUGCGUAGAUAUGCGGAGGAACACCGAUGGCGAAGGCAGCCUCCUGGGAUCUUACUGACGCUCAUGCACGAAAGCAUUAAGAACUUCAAACAGGAUUAGAUACCCUGGUAGUCCGCCUAAACGAUGUCGCUAGCUGUUGGGGCCUUCGGGCCUUGGUAGCGCAGCUAACGCGUGAAGUUGUUUUCUGGGAAAUUACGGUCGCAAGAUUAAAACUCAAAGGAAUUGACGGGGACCGCACAAGCGGUGGAUGAUGUCAGGUUAAUUCGAUGCAACGCGAAAACCUUACACCUACCCUUGACAUGUCUGGAAUCCCGAAGAGAUUUGGGAGUGCUCGCCAAAGAACCGGAACACAGGUGCUGCAUGGCUGUCGUCAGCUCGUGUCGUGAGAUGUUGGGUUAAGUCCGCAACGAGCGCAACCCUUGUCAUUAGUUGCUACGAAAGGGCACUCUAAUGAGACUGCCGGUGACAAACCGGAGGAAGGUGGGGAUGACGUCAAGUCCUCAUAGCCCUUGUGGUGAGCUUCCACAUACAAUGGUCGGGACAGAGAAUUCGCCAACCGCGAGGGGAGCCAAUCCCAGAAACCCGAUCGUAGUCCGGAUCGCAGUCUGCAACUCGACUGCGUGAAGUCGGAAUCGCCAAGCAAUCGCGGAUCAGCAUGUCGCGGUGAAUACGUUCCCGGGUCUUGUACACACCGCCCGUCACACCAUGGGAGUGGGUUUUACCAGAAGUAGUUAGCCUAACCGUAAGGAGGGCGAUUACCACGGUAGGAUUCAUGACUGGGGUGAAGUCGUAACAAGGUAG